CCAAUAGCGUAUAUUAAAGUUGUUGCAGUUAAAAAGCUCGUAGUUGAAUUUCGGGAUCAAAUUGUCGGUCGUGCCUCGGUACGCACUGGUAUUAUUGGUUCCUACCUUCUGAAGAACCGCGAUGUCAUUAACUUGGUGUUGUGGGGAAUCAGGACUGUUACUUUGAAAAAAUUAGAGUGUUUAAAGCAGGCUUACGCUUGAAUACAUUAGCAUGGAAUAAUGAAAUAGGACGUUUGAUUCUAUUUUGUUGGUUUCUAGGAUUGACGUAAUGAUUAAUAGGGAUAGUUGGGGGCAUUAGUAUUCAAUUGUCAGAGGUGAAAUUCUUGGAUUUAUUGAAGACUAACUACUGCGAAAGCAUUUGCCAAGGAUGUUUUCAUUAAUCAAGAACGAAAGUUAGGGGAUCGAAGACGAUCAGAUACCGUCGUAGUCUUAACCAUAAACUAUGCCGACUAGGGAUCGGAUGAUGUUAAUUUUUUAAUGACUCAUUCGGCGCCUUACG
RNAcentral lists this ribosomal RNA (499 nucleotides) under uncultured Glomeromycotina. RNAcentral's name for it is "partial small subunit ribosomal RNA". It matches the Rfam family "Eukaryotic small subunit ribosomal RNA", at positions 591 to 1092 of the family's 1831-position model. The record is from RNAcentral. Lineage: Eukaryota; Fungi; Glomeromycota.